This 383-nucleotide ribosomal RNA is filed under the name uncultured eukaryote. Its description in RNAcentral is "partial 18S ribosomal RNA". It matches the Rfam family "Eukaryotic small subunit ribosomal RNA", at positions 592 to 976 of the family's 1831-position model. The record is from RNAcentral.
CAAUAGCGUAUAUUAAAAUUGUUGCAGUUAAAAAGCUCGUAGUUGGAUUUCUGGUAGGAGUGACCGUUCCGAACUUGAUUGUUCGUGUAUUGUGGUUUCUCCAGCCAUCCUUGUGGAGAACUUUUCUUGCAUUAAUUUGUAGGGAUUGGGACCCGCAUCGUUUACUGUGAAAAAAUUAGAGUGUUUAAAGCAGGCAAUCGCUUGAAUACAUUAGCAUGGAAUAAUAAGAUAGGACUUUGGUACUAUUUUGUUGGUUUGCAUACCAAAUUAAUGAUCAACAGGAACAGUUUGAGGAUAUUCGUAUGAACAUGUCAGAGGUGAAAUUCUUGGAUUUUGAUCAGACGAACUACUGCGAAAGCAUUUAUCAAGGAUGUUUUCAUUAA